Molecule: ribosomal RNA, 466 nt
Filed under: uncultured bacterium
Lineage: Bacteria
Description: partial 16S ribosomal RNA
Rfam family: Bacterial small subunit ribosomal RNA
Source: RNAcentral
GACGAACGCUGGCGGCGUGCUUAACACAUGCAAGUCGAACGGUAAGGCUCCAGCUUGCUGGGGUACACGAGUGGCGAACGGGUGAGUAACACGUGGGUGACCUGCCCUGCACUUCGGGAUAAGCCUGGGAAACUGGGUCUAAUACCGGAUAGGACCAUGGUGUGGAUACUGUGGUGGAAAGUUUUUUCGGUGUGGGAUGGGCCCGCGGCCUAUCAGCUUGUUGGUGGGGUAAUGGCCUGCCAAGGCGGCGACGGGUAGCCGGCCUGAGAGGGUGGACGGCCACAUUGGGACUGAGACACGGCCCAGACUCCUACGGGAGGCAGCAGUGGGGAAUAUUGCACAAUGGGCGGAAGCCUGAUGCAGCGACGCCGCGUGGGGGAUGACGGCCUUCGGGUUGUAAACUCCUUUCACCAUCGACGAAGGGUUUCUGACGGUAGAUGGAGAAGAAGCACCGGCUAACUACGUG